CUACGGGGCGCUGCAGUGAGGAAUAUUGGACAAUGGGGGAAACCCUGAUCCAGCAAUGCCGCGUGAAUGAAGAAGGCCUUAGGGUUGUAAAGUUCUUUCACUCGUGAAGAUUAUGACGGUAACGAGAGAAGAAGCCCCGGCUAACUCUGUGCCAGCAGCCGCGGUAAGACAGAGGGGGCUAGCGUUGUUCGGAAUAACUGGGCGUAAAGGGUGCGUAGGCGGUUGUUUAAGUAAAGUGUAAAAGCCCUGGGCUUAACCCAGGAAUCGCAUUUUAAACUGGACAGCUAGAGUGUGGUAGAGGAAAGUGGAAUCCCUAGUGUAGAGGUGAAAUCCGUAGAUAUUAGGAGGAACACCAGAGGCGAAGGCGGCUUUCUGGACCAUUACUGACGCUGAGGCACGAAAGCGUGGGGAGCAAACAGGAUUAGAACCCGAGUAGUC
This 438-nucleotide ribosomal RNA is filed under the name uncultured bacterium. RNAcentral describes it as "partial 16S ribosomal RNA". It matches the Rfam family "Bacterial small subunit ribosomal RNA", at positions 339 to 795 of the family's 1533-position model. The record is from RNAcentral.